Molecule: non-coding RNA, 73 nt
Organism: Pangasius djambal
Lineage: Eukaryota; Metazoa; Chordata; Actinopteri; Siluriformes; Pangasiidae
Source: the annotation of a GenBank genome assembly
GAAGUGGUAGCUCAGUGUUUAAGAUGUUGGACUGCUAUAUCAGAAGGUCUUGAGUUCAAAUCCCAGCACUGCC